This 492-nucleotide ribosomal RNA is filed under the name uncultured bacterium. RNAcentral's name for it is "partial 16S ribosomal RNA". It matches the Rfam family "Bacterial small subunit ribosomal RNA", at positions 29 to 507 of the family's 1533-position model. The record is from RNAcentral.
AGUGAACGCUGGCGGUAGGCCUAACACAUGCAAGUCGAACGGCAGCACAGUAAGAGCUUGCUCUUACGGGUGGCGAGUGGCGGACGGGUGAGGAAUACAUCGGAAUCUACUUUUUCGUGGGGGAUAACGUAGGGAAACUUACGCUAAUACCGCAUACGACCUACGGGUGAAAGCAGGGGAUCUUCGGACCUUGCGCGAUUGAAUGAGCCGAUGUCGGAUUAGCUAGUUGGCGGGGUAAAGGCCCACCAAGGCGACGAUCCGUAGCUGGUCUGAGAGGAUGAUCCGCCACACUGGAACUGAGACACGGUCCAGACUCCUACGGGAGGCAGCAGUGGGGAAUAUUGGACAAUGGGCGCAGACCUGAUCCAGCCAUACCGCGUGGGUGAAGAAGGCCUUCGGGUUGUAAAGCCCUUUUGUUGGGAAAGAAAAGCAGCAGGUUAAUACCCCGCUGUUCUGACGGUACCCAAAGAAUAAGCACCGGCUAACUUCGUG